RNAcentral lists this ribosomal RNA (197 nucleotides) under uncultured bacterium. Its description in RNAcentral is "partial 16S ribosomal RNA". It matches the Rfam family "Bacterial small subunit ribosomal RNA", at positions 328 to 539 of the family's 1533-position model. The record is from RNAcentral.
ACGCUCGACACCUACAGGAGGCAGCAGUGGGGAAUAUUGCACAAUGGGGGAAACCCUGAUGCAGCGACGCCGCGUGAGUGAAGAAGUAAUUCGUUAUGUAAAGCUCUAUCAGCAGGGAAGAAAGUGACGGUACCUGAGUAAGAAGCCCCGGCUAACUACGUACCAGCAGCCGCGGUAAUCUGAGCGGCUGGCAAGGC